GGGAUCGAUGCCGGCGACGAUGGAGGUGAGCUCGAUGCUAGCACCAGUGGCGGCCGACACGCAGGCGGCCGGGAUCCGGCUCGUGCAGCUUCUCAUGGCCUGCGCGGAAGCCGUGCAGCAGGAGAAUCUCGAUGCGGCGAUGGUGCUGGUGAACCAGAUCCCGACGCUUGCUGCCUCGCAGGGCGGCGCGAUGCGCAAGGUCGCCGGGUUCUUCGCCGACGCGCUGCUGCGGCGGAUCUACCGGCAGCUCCCGCAGCCGGACUGCUCCGUAGACUCCGCCUUCACGGACAUCCUCCACAUGCACUUCUACGAGUCAUGCCCUUAUCUCAAGUUCGCCCACUUCACCGCAAAUCAAGCUAUUCUAGAAGCCUUCGCCGGCUGCCGCCGCGUGCACGUGAUCGAUUUCGGGAUGAAGCAG
This 418-nucleotide unclassified non-coding RNA is filed under the name Hevea brasiliensis (rubber tree). Lineage: Eukaryota; Viridiplantae; Streptophyta; Magnoliopsida; Malpighiales; Euphorbiaceae. The record is from RNAcentral.